GAAAUAUUUUCAUGUCUUAGUUCAAUAGGCGCCCACCUGUAUAAUGAGAGGAAUAUCUUCAUGUCUUAGUUCAAUAGGCGCCCACCUGUAUAAUGAGAGGAAUAUUUUCAUGUCUUAGUUCAAUAGGCGCCCACCUGUAUAAUGAGAGGAAUAUUUUCAUGUCUUAGUUCAAUAGACGCCCACCUGUAUAAUGAGAGGAAUAUUUUCAUGUCUUAGUUCAAUAGGCGCCCACCUGUAUAAUGAGAGAAAUAUUUUCAUGUCUUAGUUCAAUAGGCGCCCACAUGUAUAAUGAGAGGAAUAUUUUCAUGUCUUAGUUCAAUAGGCGCCCACAUGUAUAAUGAGAGGAAUAUUUUCAUGUCUUAGUUGAAUAGACGCCCACCUGUAUAAUGAGAGGAAUAUUUUCAUGUCUUAGUUCAAUAGGCGCCCACCUGUAUAAUGAGAGGAAUAUUUUCAUGUCUUAGUUAAAUAGGCGCCCCAUGUAUAAUGAGAGGAAUAUUUUCAUAUCUUAGUUAA
RNAcentral lists this long non-coding RNA (513 nucleotides) under Nicotiana tabacum (common tobacco). Its description in RNAcentral is "long non-coding RNA (NTAB_LNC008302)". The record is from RNAcentral. Lineage: Eukaryota; Viridiplantae; Streptophyta; Magnoliopsida; Solanales; Solanaceae.